CUCUAAAAUGACUCUUGUUUCAUCUUGCCAGGUCAUUUCUGAAGGCUAGACUCAAUGUGGGUCUAAAUUUUAUAGGUGGUGUUUGUGUCACUUGAUAAGACCAUUAUGUUUCUCUUACUGAAUUUUUGUUCUUUUCCUGAUUUAUGGAGAGAGAUUCUUGAUUUGUGCUGAAAGAAUUAAACUUACCUGACGCUUAUGUUACACAUUUUAUUUUCACUGUUACAUUCCACUCAUUCUGCUCCUGUCUUUCCCUUUUCUUAGAUAAAUCAGCAUUUUGACAGGACUGAUUGGACUGAAAAGGCAAGGCUGAAUGAGCAGAAGCUAUGUUUUGUGGAGGUUUUCCCUGAAGGAGUGAGGACAUCGUUGGAACACUUGAUCUUUUCUUGCAUUAAAAGGAUGAACAGUAUUGCGGCUCACAAGAAAGCUUGAGUUAUAGUCUUCUUCUUGGACAUUGAUGGAAACAUCUGAAUAAGGUAAAAUCAUAUGCAUUUUAAUUAAAUUUUAUAUCUGAUUAAGUUUAUUAUUAUUCGCUCAAGCGUUUGUGAUUGAUUUGCUUCAUGCCGGUGGACAAGC
This 573-nucleotide long non-coding RNA is filed under the name Felis catus (domestic cat). Its description in RNAcentral is "lncRNA (ENSFCAG00000052619.1)". The record is from RNAcentral. Lineage: Eukaryota; Metazoa; Chordata; Mammalia; Carnivora; Felidae.